AUACGUAGGGGGCGAGCGUUGUCCGGAAUGAUUGGGCGUAAAGGGCGCGUAGGCGGCCCGGUAAGUCUGGAGUGAAAGUCCUGCUUUUAAGGUGGGAAUUGCUUUGGAUACUGUCGGGCUUGAGUGCAGGAGAGGUAAGUGGAAUUCCCAGUGUAGCGGUGAAAUGCGUAGAGAUUGGGAGGAACACCAGUGGCGAAGGCGACUUACUGGACUGUAACUGACGCUGAGGCGCGAAAGUGUGGGGAGCAAACAGGAUUAGAUACCCGGGUAGUCCACACUGUAAACGAUGAAUGCUAGGUGUAGGGGGUAUCGACCCCUUCUGUGCCGCAGUUAACACAAUAAGCAUUCCGCCUGGGGAGUACGGCCGCAAGGUUGAAACUCAAAUGAAUUGACGGGG
This 397-nucleotide ribosomal RNA is filed under the name uncultured bacterium. Its description in RNAcentral is "partial 16S ribosomal RNA". It matches the Rfam family "Bacterial small subunit ribosomal RNA", at positions 523 to 918 of the family's 1533-position model. The record is from RNAcentral.